AUCUUAAAAAUUAAAAAAUUUGGCGGUAUUUUAGUCUUUUCAGAGGAACCUGUUUUUUAAAUGAUAAUCCACGAUAAAAUUAACUUAAGUUUUAAAUUUGUAUAUCGUCGUAGUUAAAAUAUUUUAUUAUAUAAUAUUUUCAGAUCAAGGUGCAGUUUAUAUUUAAGAAAAAAUGGGUUACAUUAAAAAAUUUAAUUAAAUUGGAUUUGAAAGUAAGCUCUAAAGUAUGUACAUAUUGCCCGUCGCUUUCAUUUUUAAAUGAAAUAAGUCGUAACAAAGUAGAUUUAUUGGAAAAUGAAUCUAGAAUACAAAUUAGAGCUUGAUAAGUAUUUUAUUUACAUUAAAAAGUUAAUUGUGAAAUUCAAUUUAAUUUGAAAAUAAUAAAUUAUUAUUAAUUUAAGUUUUUAUUAUUUAAUAAAAAAAUUUUUAGUUUUUAGUAUUUUAAAGAAAAAAAAUUAUUAUAGUUAAUAGUAUUGUAAAAGAAAUUUAAUUUUUAAAAAAAAGAAAAUUUGAUUAAUUGUACCUUGUGUAUCAGGGUUUAUUAAUUUAUAAUUCUCGAAUUUUAAAGAGUUAAUUUUAUUGUAAUAUAAAUAUUUAAAAUAAAUAAUUAGAAAUGAAAUGUUAUUCGUUUUAAAAUAUAUCUAGUUUUUUUAGAAAAAAUUUAAUUUUAAAAUUAAUUAAUAAUAAUAUAAAGGGAUUAGCUUUAAAUUAUAUAUUUAAAAAUUUAUUUAUAUAUAAAUAAUAUAGAAUUAGAAGUUUUUUUUAUUUGAAGUGAUUUAUAUCUUAUAAUUUUAAUUUGUUUAUAAAAAUUUAAAUUUUAAUUGUAAAUAUUUAGUAAUAAUGAUAAAAUUAGUAAAAUUUUUAUAAAGAAUUCGGCAAAUAUAUUUUUCACCUGUUUAUUAAAAACAUCGUUUUUUGAAAAUGAUAAAAAAUAGGGCCUGCUCAAUGAUUAAAUAGCUGCAGUAUUUUGACUGUACAAAGGUAGCAUAAUCAUUAGUUUUUUAAUUGAAAGCUGGAAUGAAUGGUUUGAUGAAAAAAUUUCUGUUUCUAAAAUUUUAUUUUUAAGUUAAAAAGCUUAAAUUUUUUAAAAAGACGAGAAGACCCUAUAGAGUUUUUUUAUUGGGGUGAUAAUUAAAUUAAUUAAACUUUAAUUUUUUAUGAAUA
This 1164-nucleotide ribosomal RNA is filed under the name Scraptia sp. 1 NLG-2012. RNAcentral's name for it is "partial 16S ribosomal RNA". The record is from RNAcentral. Lineage: Eukaryota; Metazoa; Arthropoda; Insecta; Coleoptera; Scraptiidae.